UACGGAUUCGACAGGGGUAGAUCGAGCUUGGGUUGCGUGUCGAGGUUACGUCUCGUAAAACGUUACUCAGUUAAAUAUAACUGGAAACAAUAAUAACACUACUCUAGCAGCAGCGUAAGCUCUGCUAGGAUCCUUCCUGCUAUCGCCCAUGUGGCAGAUUGAAGGGUCUCAAACUAUAGUGGGCUAUGCUGUUAGUCGCCGUCUGAGGCUGACAGAAGAAUUCCAAUCAGACUAGCCACUUGGAAGCCAGUCGUUAGGCUGAAAAGCUGGCGAAUGACAAUAUAACGACUACACACGUAGAUACCCGAGUGACGAUAUCUCUGGACGUGGGUUCGAUUA
RNAcentral lists this transfer-messenger RNA (339 nucleotides) under Virgibacillus sp. MSP4-1. It matches the Rfam family "transfer-messenger RNA". From Rfam's summary of the family: Bacterial tmRNA, also known as 10Sa RNA or SsrA, is named for its dual tRNA and mRNA-like properties. Its role is to liberate the mRNA from a stalled ribosome. Lineage: Bacteria; Bacillati; Bacillota; Bacilli; Caryophanales; Bacillaceae. The record is from Rfam by way of RNAcentral.